Molecule: small RNA, 29 nt
Filed under: Bombyx mori (domestic silkworm)
Lineage: Eukaryota; Metazoa; Arthropoda; Insecta; Lepidoptera; Bombycidae
Description: ovarian small RNA-25051
Source: RNAcentral
UCACAUAUGCGGUGCAUCGCGCCCCGGAA